Molecule: long non-coding RNA, 606 nt
Organism: Papaver somniferum (opium poppy)
Lineage: Eukaryota; Viridiplantae; Streptophyta; Magnoliopsida; Ranunculales; Papaveraceae
Exons: 3
Source: RefSeq, a predicted model, not a curated record
CUCAUUUUCAGUGAGACCCCCUGUUAUGCUUUCUUCAACUUCUAAAACCAGAUCUGGUCGUCUCCAUGUUAACAACAAGAGAUCAAAUGGUAAUGUCAAAAGACUUGGUUAGAUGUAUGAGAUUUUCAUUCAGUUGAGCAUUCACUUAAGAUUAAUCACAUAGGGUAAAGAGAAUGGAGGAAGGCCACGAAAUGCGAGUUCAGAAAGUUUUAUCUUAUUGUCAUUGCAUAAUAGAGACUGUAUGUCAUGGACCUUUUCUUUGGAAUUCUUACCCCAAAAUUAUGAAGAAUCAUGAAGGAUUAUGUAGGCUGAAAGUAUAGAUUUGCUUAAACUACGUUACAUUCAUAUUACUAUGUUCAGUCCAGGUUUGGAAGAGUCGUUGUUGAGUAAGGGAACAUUCUCUACUGGUAAGACGUACUAGGCUUUAAUGCUCGACCAACAGCUGCAGGAAGUGGACGGAAACUUUUGGGUCCUUUCUAAUUUGUACUAUUGUUAUGGCCGUCUCUAAAUGAUUCAACGGUACUUAUGUAUACCUGUACAACUUGAAAACACGUGCAACGCAUGUGCCCUUCACUAUUAUCAUAUAUCACAUCUAAAUGGUGGGUU